RNAcentral lists this ribosomal RNA (922 nucleotides) under uncultured bacterium. RNAcentral's name for it is "bacterial SSU rRNA". It matches the Rfam family "Bacterial small subunit ribosomal RNA", at positions 33 to 936 of the family's 1533-position model. The record is from RNAcentral.
ACGCUGGCGGCGUGCCUAAUACAUGCAAGUAGAACGCUGAAGAGAGGAGCUUGCUCUUCUUGGAUGAGUUGCGAACGGGUGAGUAACGCGUAGGUAACCUGCCUUGUAGCGGGGGAUAACUAUUGGAAACGAUAGCUAAUACCGCAUAACAAUGGAUGACACAUGUCAUUUAUUUGAAAGGGGCAAUUGCUCCACUACAAGAUGGACCUGCGUUGUAUUAGCUAGUAGGUGAGGUAACGGCUCACCUAGGCGACGAUACAUAGCCGACCUGAGAGGGUGAUCGGCCACACUGGGACUGAGACACGGCCCAGACUCCUACGGGAGGCAGCAGUAGGGAAUCUUCGGCAAUGGGGGCAACCCUGACCGAGCAACGCCGCGUGAGUGAAGAAGGUUUUCGGAUCGUAAAGCUCUGUUGUAAGUCAAGAACGAGUGUGAGAGUGGAAAGUUCACACUGUGACGGUAGCUUACCAGAAAGGGACGGCUAACUACGUGCCAGCAGCCGCGGUAAUACGUAGGUCCCGAGCGUUGUCCGGAUUUAUUGGGCGUAAAGCGAGCGCAGGCGGUUUGAUAAGUCUGAAGUUAAAGGCUGUGGCUCAACCAUAGUUCGCUUUGGAAACUGUCAAACUUGAGUGCAGAAGGGGAGAGUGGAAUUCCAUGUGUAGCGGUGAAAUACGUAGAUAUAUGGAGGAACACCGGUGGCGAAAGCGGCUCUCUGGUCUGUAACUGACGCUGAGGCUCGAAAGCGUGGGGAGCGAACAGGAUUAGAUACCCUGGUAGUCCACGCCGUAAACGAUGAGUGCUAGGUGUUGGAUCCUUUCCGGGAUUCAGUGCCGCAGCUAACGCAUUAAGCACUCCGCCUGGGGAGUACGACCGCAAGGUUGAAACUCAAAGGGAAUUGACGGGGGCCCGCACAAGCGGUGGA